AGCUUUUUUACAGGAGUUCCCAAGGACUUUGAUUUUAAUAAUUCUACGUUUUUUUCUCUUUUUGCAGAAUUCUUGUCCAUUCGUCAGAGAAAUAGGUGUGCUUUUUGAAGUUAUUGAAAUCCGAAAACUCCAUGAAAACUUACUGUGUCUCGACAGUAAAGUGCCUUUUGUCGGUGUUGAUACUUCUCCAUUUUCAAAAAGUGAAGUUUGUAUGAUCAAAGCAAAUAGGAUCUUCCAAGUCUGGGAUGUUGAAGGUUCAGUGAAAGAGCCGAAAUUAAAAGGUCAAUUACCAACCAAAGUGCACUACGCGGAUAAUUGGUGCAAUUUCCGCUAUGGCAGUCAACCCAAUGAAGUUUUAGCCGCUGAUAGAAUCAACACUUUCCUUUAUGAUCUCAGGAUGGAUUUAACUAAACCUGCAAACCAGUGGAAUCCUUGGAAACAAAGCGAACUUUGCGAAGAAAUCUCCUUAUUACGCUUAAGUGCAGUCAGUCCAGUUCAUUGCUAUGUUGGAACUUCUCAUCAAAUAUUUUCUCUUGACUUAAGAUCCUCAUUUUGUCAGAGAUGGACUCAUAUGUUACGAACUGCUCCAUAUAUUGCCACUUCUGUUCGAAGAGAUGAUAUGGAAUUAUUACUAUUCUGUAGCCAACAUACACCCAGAGUAGAAUGUAUCAUCAAUGACUGGACGUCUGUUGAGGUCCCAGUCUCUCGUGUUUUUCCUAGAAUUCUCCCCUCCAUCACGGAUGUGUAUCAAGAGGCAAAACUAUCCAAUAUUUGUAACCAUCCCAUUGUUGAAUGCAGGUUUGACAGCUGUUUAACAGGACUGGCAUCAGUGAAGAAUGAAAAUGAUUUAGCUUUACUCAGUAACACCUCAUCAGGUGAUAUUUUUUAUCAAACCUUAAGUUUCUCAGAAGAAGCUGACCAAUCCAAACCAACACUGAAUAAAGUGGAAUUGAAGGCGUUGAAACAGUUUGAGAAGAAAUGUGUCAGAAAAUUUACUAUGGAAAAGAAGACUUUACAUGUUACCAGUGAUUUUGCAGAUUUUCAUGAGGUUGUUGAAAAGUUAAAGAAGGGGGAACCGGAGGUAAAAGAAGUAGAAAAACCCACUGUGGAGCACUGUGCAGGUUGGCAAAUACCAAAGGAUUUUCUUGAAAGCUGUAAAGAUUAUCUAGCCCCAAGACUACUGGAAACCUGGGACAUCAAGGAACUUCCUGACUGGUCCAUCGAACCAACUCCAGGUAAGGAACUAGAGGUGACAAGCUCAUGGCCAAAGAAACCUCCUAUUCAACAUAAAAGAAGUAUAAGAAUCCAAAAAGAGAAAAUGAACGAAUCAGAUAAACUUUUCAGGAAGGUAGGAGAAGAUGCAAAUGCUGAAAUGCCAGGUAUUGGAGAUUUGACUAAAAAGGUAGAGAAACCCACUGAAAAAGAAAGUAAAAAUCAAAAUAACAAGAGUGAUAACUCUGCAACUGGAGAUUCGACUAAAAAGGUAGAGAAACUCACUGAAAAAGAAAGUGAAUAUCAAAAUAAUAACAGUGAUAUGUCUGCAACUAUCACCAAGAAAAAUAAUACAUCUAAAAGGGUAUCAUUUCAUUGUGAUAAAGUGGAUGAAAGUUUUGACAAGGCCACUGUGAUUUCUAAAAUACUGGAAGAAGUCAGAAGAAGUAUGGAAAAUGGGUCCCAAGGAAAGAAGAAAACAAGGAAAAAAGAAAACAAAAAGAAUUAUACAAAUAUUGAAGUCGCAGCAAAGCAAGGAAAGCAGAAGGAACAUUUUGCCAAAAUUGCGGAGUUGGAGGAUAAAGAGGCAACAACAUUGAAUGCAGAAGAAAGAAAACGCCCGGAGAAGAUUGAAAACGCUACACAAAUACAAAAAUCCGUCGAAAACCUUAUCAAAGGAAGACGGAAAGAGAAGAAAAUUAAGAAAGACCAAAGUUGUAUGAAUCAAGAAAAAUGUACACAAAAAGAGAAUGGGGCAAUAUCAAUGACCUCUGAUUUAGAUCAAGUGAUACUUGAUGGAGUAAACCUAAUAACUCACUCACAAGGAACAGAUAUGAAGACUACUGAGAAAGAGAAAAAAGAGAAAAAGAGACCGAAGAAAAAAGAGAGAAACAUCAAUUCAAAUAACGAUACUGGAAAAGAAGUAGUCGUAGAAGUCACUAGAAAUAAUGAUUUACAAAGAAUUGGAAAGGCUUGCUCGGAGCAAAAAGAACUUAAAAUUUAGACAGAACUUCUGAAAUGUCUGGACUCCCUGAUCAAGAAAUACCUAAUCGCUAUGAAAGUGCCUCCCAAGAAUUCAUUUUACCAAGACUGGAAAAUUUUGAUGGUCAAAGCUCGUUAAGCCAGAAGUUAGAUCCUGAAAGGUCUGACCAGUCUCUUAAUCAGAACAGUUUCAAUCAGUUAACUGUUGUAUCUGCAAAACAAAAAGCCGAGAAAGAGAUCAGAAAAAAAGAAAGAAAAGAGAAGAAGAAGAAGAAAAAUAAAAAAGAGGAAAGGGAAAGUUCUCUCUCGAGUGGCACAGACUCAAAAGACUGCAAAACAGAUCCAAAAGAAUUCAAAAAUACUGAACAUUCCCAAAAAUCAAUAACAUCUAGUCCAAAGUUGCUUGAGGAAACUGUAAGUGUUUCCAACAAUACAAGCAUACCCACCUGUGGGACUUCACCCAUGCACAGAGAGCCCUCUCAAAAAUUAGAAGUUGGAAGUGGUGAAUUGUUCCUACCUCCUCCUGCUCGCGCUAAAGAAAGUUUGCAACAGUCACCUAGUAAACAAGAGCAAAUCACAAUACAAUCACCAUGUGGUAAUCACCAAAGUUUGAACUCAGAUAAGAUCUGUCACCAGCAAAUGGACCAUUUUGUCAGCAGCACAGGGGUUUCCUCCAUUCCUAAUCAUAGCAGGGUCUCCCCUGAUAUAUUCGAAACUACCUACAUAAUACCUGACAGGAUAAUGGAUCCCUCUGCUCAUGACAGCUCUACUACCUCAGGUUUUGAAACGGAUGAUACAAGCAAAAAAAGAAGAAAACGUUCCAAAAAAUUGAAAAAAUCACCUGAAGCAACCCCUGUAUCCUCUGGAAGUGAAUCACAAAAAAGCCAUUGUCAGAGUACAGAAACUAGUAUUUCUCUGUUGAAAAAUGUUAAAACGGUUUUCUCGCCUGCUUCAAAAGCUGUUCAUAAGGAGGCCUCCUUUGUAGAUGAGCCAAUCCCUGAACUAUCUUCAAACAAACUUUUGGAAACUCACCAUUCUGAAAAAGCAGAUAUCACUGCAAAUGACAGUUUCCUUGAUCAAAAUUCCCAACUUGAUUUUAUGUUGCCUGUAGCCACAAGCACACAAACUGUCUCAGCGAACAAAAACAUGCUGGAAGAUUUUGGCCUCUCAAUGCAAACAUCUUUUCACUCUCAAAAUUUAGGAGCUUUUGGAAAUAAAUUCAAAUCUCAUGGUGGCCUGAAUGAAUUUGAUUACUCAUAUGAUGAUGAUCCAACCAUGCAAUUGUCUGACUCUAGCUUGACGAGGAAAAGAAAAGCUUCAAUCCCUGAAAAAUCUCCGAAGAAGAAUUUACGAUUAUCUCAGACUUACACUCCUGGUUUUUAAAAAUGACAGCUGGAACAUCGCUCUUUUGUUACCUAGUAAUGAAAAAUUAUUUUUUACUCAAUUUUCAGUGGUUGAUUUUUUUAAAAUUUGCAUACUGUUUUAUAUUGUGCAAAUAUGUUUAUUUUUGUACCCAACGCCGUAAUUUUAUGCAAGAGAUUACUGUAUAGUUUUAAUUUCCAACUGUGAUUGCCUAGCUGAAAAAAUCCUUUUUAAGAUUUUAUCCUUUGAUUUUUUUGGAAUAAAUUAUUCAUUUUGUUUUUGAAUUUAUACAGUUUUUUUAACAUUUUUGUUCCUUUGUUUAGUCGCUCGAAAACUCGUUUUUAAUUGGAGUUACACUCACU
RNAcentral lists this long non-coding RNA (3917 nucleotides) under Bemisia tabaci. Its description in RNAcentral is "lncRNA ENSSSA1NGG012185". The record is from RNAcentral. Lineage: Eukaryota; Metazoa; Arthropoda; Insecta; Hemiptera; Aleyrodidae.